This 300-nucleotide ribosomal RNA is filed under the name uncultured bacterium. RNAcentral's name for it is "bacterial SSU rRNA". It matches the Rfam family "Bacterial small subunit ribosomal RNA", at positions 28 to 329 of the family's 1533-position model. The record is from RNAcentral.
GACGAACGCUGGCGGCGUGCUUAACACAUGCAAGUCGAGCGGUAAGGCCCUUUCGGGGGUACACGAGCGGCGAACGGGUGAGUAACACGUGGGUGACCUGCCCUCAGCUCUGGGAUAAGCCUGGGAAACCGGGUCUAAUACCGGAUAUGACUCCAUGACGCAUGUUGUGGGGUGGAAAGCCUUGUGCGGCUGAGGAUGGGCCCGCGGCCUAUCAGCUUGUUGGUGGGGUGANGGCCUACCAAGGCGACGACGGGUAGCCGGCCUGAGAGGGCGACCGGCCACACUGGGACUGAGACACGG